UUGGAGGGCAAGUCUGGUGCCAGCAGCCGCGGUAAUUCCAGCUCCGAUAGCGUAUAUUAAAGUUGUUGCAGUUAAAAAGCUCGUAGUUGAAUUUCGAGAUCAGUACGCUGGUCGUGCCUUUGGUAUGCACUGGUGUCACUGGUUUCUCCCUUCUGAAGAACUGUCAUGCCAUUCAGUUGGUGUGGCGGGGAAUCAGGACUGUUACUUUGAAAAAAUUAGAGUGUUUAAAGCAGGCUCGCGCUUGAAUACAUUAGCAUGGAAUAAUGAAAUAGGACGUUUGACCCUAUUUUGUUGGUUUCUAGGAUCGACGUAAUGAUUAAUAGGGAUAGUUGGGGGCAUUAGUAUUCAAUUGUCAGAGGUGAAAUUCUUGGAUUUAUUGAAGACUAACUACUGCGAAAGCAUUUGCCAAGGAUGUUUUCAUUAAUCAAGAACGAAAGUUAGGGGAUCGAAGACGAUCAGAUACCGUCGUAGUCUUAACCAUAAACUAUGCCGACUAGGGAUCGGAUGAUGUUAAUUUUUUAAUGACUCAUUCGGCGCCUUACGGGAAAC
RNAcentral lists this ribosomal RNA (549 nucleotides) under uncultured Glomus. RNAcentral's name for it is "SSU rRNA". It matches the Rfam family "Eukaryotic small subunit ribosomal RNA", at positions 548 to 1098 of the family's 1831-position model. The record is from RNAcentral. Lineage: Eukaryota; Fungi; Glomeromycota; Glomeromycetes; Glomerales; Glomeraceae.